RNAcentral lists this ribosomal RNA (446 nucleotides) under uncultured bacterium. RNAcentral describes it as "partial 16S ribosomal RNA". It matches the Rfam family "Bacterial small subunit ribosomal RNA", at positions 338 to 795 of the family's 1533-position model. The record is from RNAcentral.
CCUACGGGAGGCAGCAGUCGAGAAUCAUUCACAAUGGGGGAAACCCUGAUGGUGCGACGCCGCGUGGGGGAAUGAAGGUCUUCGGAUUGUAAACCUCUGUCAUGUGGGAGCAAAUUAAAAAGAUAGUACCACAAGAGGAAGAGACGGCUAACUCUGUGCCAGCAGCCGCGGUAAUACAGAGGCCUCAAGCGUUGUUCGGAAUCACUGGGCUUAAAGCGUGCGUAGGCUGUUUCGUAAGUCAUGUGUGAAAGUGGGGGGCUCAACCAUAGUACGGCACAUGAUACUGGGAGACUGGAGUACUGGUGGGGGAACCGGAAUUCUCGGUGUAGCAGUGAAAUGCAUAGAUAUCAAGAGGAACACUCGUGGCGAAGGCAGGUUCCUAGACAUUAACUGACGCUGAGGCACGAAGGCCAGGGGAGCGAAAGGGAUUAGAUACCCGGGUAGUC